This 74-nucleotide transfer RNA is filed under the name Paramuricea clavata. It matches the Rfam family "tRNA". From Rfam's summary of the family: Transfer RNA (tRNA) molecules are approximately 80 nucleotides in length. Their secondary structure includes four short double-helical elements and three loops (D, anti-codon, and T loops). Lineage: Eukaryota; Metazoa; Cnidaria; Anthozoa; Malacalcyonacea; Plexauridae. The record is from Rfam by way of RNAcentral.
GACCGCGUAGCUCAGUUGGCAGAGCAUUGGGCUAGUAUUCCUAAAGGUCGUAGGUUCGAUUCCCACCGUGGACG